Balaenoptera musculus (blue whale) is the source of this 928-nucleotide long non-coding RNA. RefSeq lists it as uncharacterized. The transcript is spliced from 3 exons. Lineage: Eukaryota; Metazoa; Chordata; Mammalia; Artiodactyla; Balaenopteridae. The record is from RefSeq and is a predicted model, not a curated record.
GGGAUCGAACCCAUGUUCUGCAUUGGAAGGCAGAUUCUUAACCACUGGACCACCAGGGAAGUCCCAGCUAUUUCUUAAUAAGGUCAAAUACCUGAACUGUGUUCAAUUAUGUGACAGAUGGACCCAAUUGUUUCUCUUUUUAUUUUUUUAACCAUUGGUUUGCUUGAAAUUGGUAUCCGACAAGGUCCAUAUAUUGCAUUUGGUUGUUAUUUGUCUGUUUUAAUCUCUAAGUUCCCCCUCCGUUUUCCCUUUAAAUUAAUUAUGUAAGAAAUCUAGUUGUUUUGUCAUAUAGCGUUUCUUCCCACAUUCUGAAUUUUGUUGAUUGUAUCACUGUAAAGUAAUUUAACUUGUUUUUAUACUCCCUCUAUAGCCUGUAAACAGAUCGGCUUGAUCAGAUUCCGGUUCAGUCUAUUUAAUGCCCUCUCUUGAAUCAUACUACACAGAUGCCCAGAACUUCCAGAUUUGAGUCCCCACUGUAUUCCCCAAAGAAUGUGUAUCUCCUAUCAUAAGUGGCAUAUGAAGACCAUGGACCUACUUCAGUAAGAACAAUGGAUACAGACAUUUACAAGAUUGUGGUGACCUGUGUUACGGUUAGAAGUUGGUGAGAAAGGUUCCCUAAUUUUGAGAAUAUGUCUCUCAAGGCUCUUCAGGAAACUCAAAAUGUUCAGAUUUCUAAAGGAGUAUCUACUAAAACUGAUUUAUAAGGAGAGAAAAAACAGAAAAUGUAUGUAUGCAUCCUGUGUCAAUAUAACCAUCACUUCUGAGGUCUCAAGCAAUCAGAAACUUACUCAAAUUAUUCAAUAACCUGUAAGAAUUAGGCCAUUAAAAUAUUUUGAAAGCCCUUCAGAACACUUAUGUUUAGUGUGUCAUUAACUGUAUUAAGGCAAUAAAAAUUACACUAAAUAUAAUUAUAUUCUUUUUUUAAAGA